Molecule: ribosomal RNA, 531 nt
Filed under: Vibrio rotiferianus
Lineage: Bacteria; Pseudomonadati; Pseudomonadota; Gammaproteobacteria; Vibrionales; Vibrionaceae
Description: bacterial SSU rRNA
Rfam family: Bacterial small subunit ribosomal RNA
Source: RNAcentral
GAUCAUGGCUCAGAUUGAACGCUGGCGGCAGGCCUAACACAUGCAAGUCGAGCGGAAACGAGUUAUCUGAACCUUCGGGGAACGAUAACGGCGUCGAGCGGCGGACGGGUGAGUAAUGCCUAGGAAAUUGCCCUGAUGUGGGGGAUAACCAUUGGAAACGAUGGCUAAUACCGCAUAAUGCCUACGGGCCAAAGAGGGGGACCUUCGGGCCUCUCGCGUCAGGAUAUGCCUAGGUGGGAUUAGCUAGUUGGUGAGGUAAUGGCUCACCAAGGCGACGAUCCCUAGCUGGUCUGAGAGGAUGAUCAGCCACACUGGAACUGAGACACGGUCCAGACUCCUACGGGAGGCAGCAGUGGGGAAUAUUGCACAAUGGGCGCAAGCCUGAUGCAGCCAUGCCGCGUGUGUGAAGAAGGCCUUCGGGUUGUAAAGCACUWUCAGUCGUGAGGAAGGUAGUGUAGUUAAUAGCUGCAUUAUUUGACGUUAGCGACAGAAGAAGCACCGGCUAACUCCGUGCCAGCAGCCGCGGUAAUA